UCCGAGUUGACCCCGGCAGUCUCCCAUGAGUCCCCACCAUUACGUGCUGGCAACAUGGAACGAGGGUUGCGCUCGUUGCGGGACUUAACCCAACAUCUCACGACACGAGCUGACGACAGCCAUGCACCACCUGUACACCACCAAAAGAAACCACAUCUCUGCGGCGACAUGGUGUAUGUCAAACCCAGGUAAGGUUCUGCGCGUUGUAUCGAAUUAAACCACAUGCUCCACCGCUUGUGCAGGCCCCCGUCAAUUCCUUUGAGUUUUAGCCUUGCGGCCGUACUCCCCAGGCGGGGCGCUUAAUGCGUUAGCUACGGCACGGACAACGUGGAAUGUCGCCCACACCUAGCGCCCAACGUUUACAGCGUGGACUAC
RNAcentral lists this unclassified non-coding RNA (375 nucleotides) under uncultured Actinomycetes bacterium. Its description in RNAcentral is "uncultured actinobacterium contains 16S-23S intergenic spacer region". Lineage: Bacteria; Bacillati; Actinomycetota; Actinomycetes. The record is from RNAcentral.